Small nucleolar RNA from Sarcophilus harrisii (Tasmanian devil), 223 nucleotides. Its record names the gene U3. It matches the Rfam family "Small nucleolar RNA U3". From Rfam's summary of the family: Small nucleolar RNAs (snoRNAs) are involved in the processing and modification of rRNA in the nucleolus. There are two main classes of snoRNAs: the box C/D class, and the box H/ACA class. NCBI's taxonomy places the organism in Eukaryota, Metazoa, Chordata, Mammalia, Dasyuromorphia, Dasyuridae. The record is from Ensembl.
AAGACUAUACUUUCAGGGAUCAUUUCUAUAGUAUGUGACUAGAGAAUUGUAGCUGAAAGUGUAGCACGGAGGUAACCACGAGGAGGAGGAGGAGAAGGAGCAUUCCCUUCUGAGCGUGAAGCUGGCUUGUGGUGCUGCUUCUCAGCAGCUGUCACUUGCCAUUGAUGAUCGUUCUUCCCUUCUUUCGGCUUGGGUGAGAGGAAGGGAAAGCAGACUGAGUGGC